This is a long non-coding RNA of Thamnophis elegans (Western terrestrial garter snake), 1001 nucleotides long. RefSeq lists it as uncharacterized. The transcript has 2 exons. The record is from RefSeq and is a predicted model, not a curated record. NCBI's taxonomy places the organism in Eukaryota, Metazoa, Chordata, Lepidosauria, Squamata, Natricidae.
GCGGUGGCUUCCCUCCCUCUGAGCCCAUGGAGAGUCUCCUUGAGUUUGCAAUGGUCACCUCCUGUGACGGUUGGAGUUUGGCUGGAGCCGAAGGCAGAUUCCAGGCGCCCUUCCCUGCUUCAGAGAGAGACGGCCUUGCUUUGUGGCCCCCCCAGCGGAGUCUCUCUCUGGCUCCUGGUCAGGAGGAAUGGAGAAGCUUUUUAUAUAUAACUUCAUUAAACUUUUGAAGAAGCCAGAUGAAAACUAACCAGAACUACUGGAGUAGAGAGAGAAGGAAAAAGGAGAGAAGAAAAAGAGAAAGGCAGGAGUGCAGAAAAAGAAGAUAAAAUAAAUAUUAAACUUCUGAUUUUCUUUGACAAAUGUAAAUUGGCCUCUCACUCCUGGUUGCAGCCUUCUAUUUCUUUUCCCACCCUCAGAACUGCCUUCCUUUUGGUUGGCACAGCCGCCUCCUCCCCCCCCAGCCUGCCUGGCAUCUCUUGGGCCACCUAAGCCCCGUGAGAUGCCCGCCAUGCCUCCCCCUUUAUGCCCCCUUAGGACCAGUCGCUGGGAAAUUGGCAGAUCAAGCGCCAGAAUGGAGAAGACGCACCCAUUUGCUACAGGUUCCCUCCCAAGUUCACCUUGAAGGCCGGCCAGCUGGUCACGAUCUGGGCUGCGGGCGCAGGGGUGUCCCACAACCCCCCCCACGGACAUGGUCUGGAAGAACCAAAGCUCCUGGGGGUCCGGCGACAGCUUACGCACAGCACUGCGGCUGUAAGGCGGCUGGGAUUCGGGGGUUGGGUGGGCGCACAGCCCCACGGCGUCUUCGUUGUGUGGGUGGGCAAAGGGGGUCAACCUUGGUGCCGGAAAGGGGACAGAGCAUUAUGGAAUUAAUUAAUUCAAUUAACCUAACUCUGGAUUGCGGAAUUAACCCCCCUGUCCAGAGUAACUCUGGGUGGCUUAUAAAUACAAUAAAAGCGGAGCUAGAAAAACAGUGAGAAAUAUAGGAGGAGUUAUAAUUAACA